GCGCUAGUAAUUCAGUUGGAUAGAGUAUCUAGCUACGAACUAGAAAGUCAGGAGUUCAAAUCUUCUCUAGCGCACCA
Molecule: transfer RNA, 77 nt
Filed under: Bacteriophage sp.
Description: tRNA-Arg
Rfam family: tRNA
About the family: Transfer RNA (tRNA) molecules are approximately 80 nucleotides in length. Their secondary structure includes four short double-helical elements and three loops (D, anti-codon, and T loops). Further hydrogen bonds mediate the characteristic L-shaped molecular structure. tRNAs have two regions of fundamental functional importance: the anti-codon, which is responsible for specific mRNA codon recognition, and the 3' end, to which the tRNAs corresponding amino acid is attached (by aminoacyl-tRNA synthetases). tRNAs cope with the degeneracy of the genetic code in two manners: having more than one tRNA (with a specific anti-codon) for a particular amino acid; and 'wobble' base-pairing, i.e. permitting non-standard base-pairing at the 3rd anti-codon position.
Source: RNAcentral